UAGUGCUCACACACACACACACACACACGCAGCAGCGCUUUCCCCUUAAGUGAGGCGGCGUUAGUAACUGCAGUCCCGGCAUCCUAGGCUGGGGACCAGCGGCUACUGGCUGGUCUGUUAGAGGACCCUGGAGCCCAGUUUCCGAGGGACCCGGUGACACGCCGCUGUCACAACUAGUGACAGGCAGCUAUUUCUUCCCUGCUGCUUCCCCAGCUCCUGGCAAGAGGACACCCUCUUCCAAAAGCCAGGCAGCCUGGGGAGGAGGCUGCUCCCUGCAGAAGGUCAUGUGAGUGGUGUGUCCUUGGAAUGGAAUCUUGGAGGGAGGAAGAGAACACUCUCUUUUUGUUUUUCUUUUGCCAGCGAUGCCCAAUUCAACAAGCAACGUAAGAGAUCCAAAGAUGGAAUCUUAACCAGGCCUUCUGAGAAGGUGAAAGCCUUUCCUGGGUAGCCUGGUGAAUCAGUGUCUUGGGAGAUUUUCAAAACUAAAGGCCAGAUGAACACCAGAGAUUAAUUCAAAGAAGCAGUGAGAAUCUCAUUGCCUCUAACCUCCGGGGGCCACAGAGAAAUCUCUGCUGAGACAUAAAUACAGAGAGUGAGCCACCUAGUGGUGAUGAGAAGUAAUUUUGAUAUUAGCCAAGCCUUCCAAAUUGAUGGACAGGGUAUUGCUAAUUUUCUAUUAUGUUGCAAAAGGGUGUUGGUUUUGUGAAAGCUUCCUUUAAUAGUAUUUUCUGCUUCUAAAUCAGUCGUCCACUUAUAAUACAAUUUUAUUCACUUUAUGCUUGAUUCUUCUAACCUGAUGUGACCUAUAUAUAUAU
Long non-coding RNA from Bubalus bubalis (water buffalo), 815 nucleotides. RefSeq lists it as uncharacterized. NCBI's taxonomy places the organism in Eukaryota, Metazoa, Chordata, Mammalia, Artiodactyla, Bovidae. The record is from RefSeq and is a predicted model, not a curated record. The transcript has 4 exons.